CCUACGGGUGGCAGCAGUGAGGAAUAUUGGUCAAUGGACGAGAGUCUGAACCAGCCAAGUCGCGUGAAGGAUGACUGCCCUCUGGGUUGUAAACUUCUUUUAUAUGGGAAUAAAAUGUUCCACGUGUGGGAUUUUGUAUGUACCAUAUGAAUAAGGAUCGGCUAACUCCGUGCCAGCAGCCGCGGUAAUACGGAGGAUCCGAGCGUUAUCCGGAUUUAUUGGGUUUAAAGGGAGCGUAGGUGGAUUGUUAAGUCAGUUGUGAAAGUUUGCGGCUCAACCGUAAAAUUGCAGUUGAAACUGGCAGUCUUGAGUACAGUAGAGGUGGGCGGAAUUCGUGGUGUAGCGGUGAAAUGCUUAGAUAUCACGAAGAACUCCGAUUGCGAAGGCAGUUCACUGGACUGCAACUGACACUGAGGCUCGAAAGUGUGGGUAUCAAACAGGAUUAGAUACCCCUGUAGUC
RNAcentral lists this ribosomal RNA (460 nucleotides) under uncultured bacterium. RNAcentral describes it as "partial 16S ribosomal RNA". It matches the Rfam family "Bacterial small subunit ribosomal RNA", at positions 338 to 795 of the family's 1533-position model. The record is from RNAcentral.